CUAUGACUUAGUGGCAGAGAAUCUGGUUUGCAUGCAGAAGGUUCCAGGUUCAAUCCCUGGCACCCCCAGGUAGG
Molecule: non-coding RNA, 74 nt
Organism: Podarcis lilfordi (Lilford's wall lizard)
Lineage: Eukaryota; Metazoa; Chordata; Lepidosauria; Squamata; Lacertidae
Source: the annotation of a GenBank genome assembly